GUGGGGAAUAUUGCACAAUGGGGGAAACCCUGAUGCAGCAACGCCGCGUGGAGGAUGACGCAUUUCGGUGUGUAAACUCCUUUUAUAAGGGAAGAUAAUGACGGUACCUUAUGAAUAAGCACCGGCUAACUCCGUGCCAGCAGCCGCGGUAAUACGGAGGGUGCAAGCGUUACUCGGAAUCACUGGGCGUAAAGGAUGCGUAGGCUGUAAUAUAAGUCAGAAGUGAAAUCCAACGGCUUAACCGUUGAACUGCUUUUGAAACUGUUUUACUAGAAUAUGGGAGAGGUAGAUGGAAUUGGUGGUGUAGGGGUAAAAUCCGUAGAUAUCACCAGGAAUACCGAUUGCGAAGGCGAUCUACUGGAACAUUAUUGACGCUGAGGCAUGAAAGCGUGGGGAGCAAACAGGAUUAGAAACCCGGGUAGUCC
RNAcentral lists this ribosomal RNA (425 nucleotides) under uncultured bacterium. RNAcentral's name for it is "partial 16S ribosomal RNA". It matches the Rfam family "Bacterial small subunit ribosomal RNA", at positions 354 to 796 of the family's 1533-position model. The record is from RNAcentral.